Molecule: long non-coding RNA, 683 nt
Organism: Gadus morhua (Atlantic cod)
Lineage: Eukaryota; Metazoa; Chordata; Actinopteri; Gadiformes; Gadidae
Source: Ensembl
GUGUAUUUUACACCAAUACCACACCGGGGAUCAUUAGCGUCAUCAUGCGCAUGCCCAGAACCACUAGGUAGCAAAAUCAGGAAGCAGAAAUUGGCAGAACGCGUGUUCGUCAAAAAGCUCUAGAAUAUUUAGUUGCCGGUAGAAUUGUUCGGGAUUUAGUUGUUGAGCGAACCUUGUAUUGCAACGGAGAUUUGUUAGUGAACGUGUUAUCUCUGCUCUAUAAGGUGUCCGGCCGCCAUCCCCUAUUCACGUGCUUUUGUGUAUUGGAGAACCUGCUCAGCAAGCUGCAGUCUGCAACUUCUGCGGGAGGUAUGUAAUACUGUUGCAUUUCAGCAAAAGCACAAGGGUGAAAGUCUUUGGUCCCCUUCCACUCCUGAGCAACAACAGCAGUGGCAUCUUCCCCUUCUUUCCCCUAAGGCUGUAGCUGCUCCAAACAAAGAUUGAGGCCACAGAGCGCAACACCCUCCUCACACACUCCCCAGGAUUGGACCCCCCAACUAGGCUCAGAUGGGAAAUCUAAGGAAAUCAAACAACCAUGGUUAAGACCGACGCUCAAUCUACGAUUGCCAGGCUAAUUUCCUCCCAUUCCCGCCAACACUUCACGGUGGGGACCCGCCAGACCUACUGAUACAUGGUCGUUUUCGAUUGAAAUCCUCAAUAAGGUAAGUUAAAGAGCCCAUGCC